CAGUAGCCGCGGGAACACGUAGGGUGCGAGCGUUAAUCGGAAUUACUGGGCGUAAAGCGUGCGCAGGCGGUUGUGUAAGACAGGUGUGAAAUCCCCGGGCUUAACCUGGGAACUGCGUUUGUGACUGCACAGCUAGAGUAUGGCAGAGGGGGGUGGAAUUCCACGUGUAGCAGUGAAAUGCGUAGAGAUGUGGAGGAACACCGAUGGCGAAGGCAGCCCCCUGGGCCAAUACUGACGCUCAUGCACGAAAGCGUGGGGAGCAAACAGGAUUAGAUACCCCCGUAGUCCCUGUCUCUUAUAC
This 301-nucleotide ribosomal RNA is filed under the name uncultured bacterium. RNAcentral describes it as "partial 16S ribosomal RNA". It matches the Rfam family "Bacterial small subunit ribosomal RNA", at positions 509 to 807 of the family's 1533-position model. The record is from RNAcentral.